CCAAGACAACUUUACGGAGUUGACGAUUGACGGAGCGAAGCGACGUCAAAGCGUUCAUUAAAGUCGAGUUGGCUUAGGGAUACGUUCGUUGGGUAGGGGAGCGUUCUGUAAGCCUGUGAAGGUGUGUCGUGAGGCAUGCUGGAGGUAUCAGAAGUGCGAAUGCUGACAUAAGUAACGAUAAAGCGGGUGAAAAGCCCGCUCGCCGGAAGACCAAGGGUUCCUGUCCAACGUUAAUCGGGGCAGGGUGAGUCGACCCCUAAGGCGAGGCCGAAAGGCGUAGUCGAUGGGAAACGGGUUAAUAUUCCCGUACUUGGUGUUACUGCGAAGGGGGGACGGAGAAGGCUAUGUUGGCCGGGCGACGGUUGUCCCGGUUUAAGCGUGUAGGUGUGUGUUCCAGGUAAAUCCGGUU
This 409-nucleotide ribosomal RNA is filed under the name Salmonella enterica. RNAcentral describes it as "partial 23S ribosomal RNA". It matches the Rfam family "Bacterial large subunit ribosomal RNA", at positions 1162 to 1547 of the family's 2925-position model. RNAcentral also lists the same sequence under 1 other name. The record is from RNAcentral. Lineage: Bacteria; Pseudomonadati; Pseudomonadota; Gammaproteobacteria; Enterobacterales; Enterobacteriaceae.